Molecule: ribosomal RNA, 253 nt
Filed under: uncultured bacterium
Lineage: Bacteria
Description: partial 16S ribosomal RNA
Rfam family: Bacterial small subunit ribosomal RNA
Source: RNAcentral
UACGUAGGUGGCAAGCGUUAUCCGGAAUUAUUGGGCGUAAAGAGCGCGCAGAUGGAUGGAUAAGUCUGAAGAGAAAGCCCGCGGCUCAACUGCGGGACUGCUUUGGAAACUGUGCAUCUUGAGUACGGGAGGGGCAGGCGGAAUUCCUGGUGUGGCGGUGAAAUGCGUAGAUAUCAGGAGGAACACCGGCGGCGAAGGCGGCCUGCUGGACCGAAACUGACGUUGAGGCUCGAAAGCGUGGGGAGCAAACAGG